This 371-nucleotide ribosomal RNA is filed under the name uncultured organism. RNAcentral describes it as "bacterial SSU rRNA". It matches the Rfam family "Bacterial small subunit ribosomal RNA", at positions 526 to 896 of the family's 1533-position model. The record is from RNAcentral.
CGUAGGGUGCGAGCGUUAAUCGGAAUUACUGGGCGUAAAGCGUGCGCAGGCGGUUUGUUAAGAUAGGCGUGAAAUCCCCGGGCUCAACCUGGGAACUGCGCUUAUGACUGGCAAGCUAGAGUACGGCAGAGGGGGGUGGAAUUCCACGUGUAGCAGUGAAAUGCGUAGAGAUGUGGAGGAACACCAAUGGCGAAGGCAGCCCCCUGGGUCGAUACUGACGCUCAUGCACGAAAGCGUGGGUAGCAAACAGGAUUAGAUACCCUGGUAGUCCACGCCCUAAACGAUGUCAACUAGGUGUUGGGAGGGUAAACCUUUUAGUACCGGAGCUAACGCGUGAAGUUGACCGCCUGGGGAGUACGGCCGCAAGGUUA